GGGGUUGUGGCUCAGUGGUAGAGCACUUGCCUAUCAGGUGAGAGGCACUGGGUUCGAUUCUCAGCACUACA
This 71-nucleotide transfer RNA is filed under the name Marmota monax (woodchuck). RNAcentral's name for it is "tRNA.Asp". The stretch from base 6 to 66 matches the Rfam family "tRNA", at positions 6 to 65 of the family's 71-position model. Rfam says of the family: Transfer RNA (tRNA) molecules are approximately 80 nucleotides in length. Their secondary structure includes four short double-helical elements and three loops (D, anti-codon, and T loops). The record is from RNAcentral. Lineage: Eukaryota; Metazoa; Chordata; Mammalia; Rodentia; Sciuridae.